AGUGAACGCUGGCGGCGUGCUUAACACAUGCAAGUCGAACGAGAACGGGUUAUAGCUUGCUAUAAUUGUCAGCUAUGUGGCGCACGGGUGAGUAAUGUAUAGGUAAUAUGCCUCUUACUAAGGGAUAACAAAUGGAAACGUUUGCUAAUACCUUAUACUCCUUAUUAACAGAAGUUAAUAAGGGAAAGAUUUAUUGGUAAGAGAUUAGCCUGUAUUGUAUCAGUUAGUUGGUGGGGUAAUGGCCUACCAAGACUAUGACACAUAACUGGUUUGAGAGGAUGAUCAGUCACACUGGAACUGAGACACGGUCCAGACUCCUACGGGAGGCAGCAGUGGGGAAUAUUGCACAAUGGACGAAAGUCUGAUGCAGCAACGCCGCGUGGAGGAUGACACAUUUCGGUGCGUAAAUUCCUUUUAUAUGAGAAGAUAAUGACGGUAUUAUAUGAAUAAGCACCGGCUAACUCCGUGCCAGCCGCCGCCGUAA
This 484-nucleotide ribosomal RNA is filed under the name uncultured bacterium. RNAcentral's name for it is "partial 16S ribosomal RNA". It matches the Rfam family "Bacterial small subunit ribosomal RNA", at positions 29 to 523 of the family's 1533-position model. The record is from RNAcentral.